RNAcentral lists this ribosomal RNA (253 nucleotides) under uncultured bacterium. RNAcentral describes it as "partial 16S ribosomal RNA". It matches the Rfam family "Bacterial small subunit ribosomal RNA", at positions 524 to 776 of the family's 1533-position model. The record is from RNAcentral.
UACGGAGGGUCCAAGCGUUAUCCGGAAUCAUUGGGUUUAAAGGGUCCGUAGGCGGCCUUAUAAGUCAGUGGUGAAAUCUCCCGGCUCAACCGGGAAAUUGCCAUUGAUACUGUAGGGCUUGAAUUACUGGGAAGUAACUAGAAUAUGUAGUGUAGCGGUGAAAUGCUUAGAGAUUACAUGGAAUACCGAUUGCGAAGGCAGGUUACUACCAAUAUAUUGACGCUGAUGGACGAAAGCGUGGGUAGCGAACAGG